RNAcentral lists this transfer RNA (73 nucleotides) under Canis lupus familiaris (dog). It matches the Rfam family "tRNA". Rfam says of the family: Transfer RNA (tRNA) molecules are approximately 80 nucleotides in length. Their secondary structure includes four short double-helical elements and three loops (D, anti-codon, and T loops). The record is from Rfam by way of RNAcentral. Lineage: Eukaryota; Metazoa; Chordata; Mammalia; Carnivora; Canidae. RNAcentral also lists the same sequence under 2 other names.
ACCUGGUUGGCUUAGUCAGUAGAGUAUGUGACUGUUGAUCUCAGGGUUGAAAGUUCAAACCCCAUAUUAGGUG